RNAcentral lists this long non-coding RNA (3396 nucleotides) under Ficedula albicollis (Collared flycatcher). Its description in RNAcentral is "lncRNA (ENSFALG00000027515.1)". The record is from RNAcentral. Lineage: Eukaryota; Metazoa; Chordata; Aves; Passeriformes; Muscicapidae.
AUGCAGCCUCUGCCCUUCAAGCCAAAGGGACACACAGAGGGUCUUGCCCUGGAUGCUGUCACCGUGGAGCAGAUGUCAGUGACAGCAUGGAUCACAGAGCCAUUGCUCCCUCAGGAUGAGCACAGCACAGCAACAUCAUCCUCCAGCAUAAGCAGGAGCUUUGCUGAACCACAUAAUACUGCCAUGUUCCUGUCCCAGGAGGUCAUACUGGGACUGGAUGAGACCACUUCACCUUUGGCCACAGCUGCCAGCAUUUCUCAGGAGACAGCCAGCCCCAUGAAGAUGGCAGCAGCUACAGUCAGUCCCCCCAACACAGAGGGAGCCAGCAUGGCAGCCCCACCACCUGCAGACCCCCCAAGUGAAUCCCUGGCGAAGGUCACCUUUUCCUCUACCACCAUGGGCACCAGCAAGGCUACAGAGGCAGGGACACGUGCCUUACCCAAGAGUGACCACAGCGCCUCACAGGACCCUCCUGGGCCUCCUGCUCAGCUGCCUCCAGCCCUUUUGCCCCAGCUUCCCUAUGAUGCUGUGCUGGGCACAGAGGAGACGCUUCCCCCCAGCCACAGCACAGCCCUGGGCACUGCUGGACAUGGGCUGCCUGGAGACAACGCUGUCACCCAGCCCCAGGCCACCACACGAGCUGUGGGCACGCUGGCUACAGGGAUGGAUGUCAUAGCUGGAGAGCACAUCCCACCUUUGGGAAGCACCAGUGCUGAGCUGGUGUCCAUCAGGAAUGAGGCCAGUACCAAAGCCACAGCAGGCACUGCCAUCCCAGAGACCAAGGACACACCACAGGGGCUCAGCACGAGUCUGUUCCCCCAUGCAGCUCUCAGUGACCCUGAUGGUCCUUCUCCAAGGCCCUUUCCACACUCCAUGGGCUCUCUGCUCCCUCAGUCCCUCUCAACAGGCCUUGGGACUACCACAGCAGAGGCAGCUGCAGGUGCAUCUCCUUCAGCCACUCCCAGCAUGGCCAUGCCUUUGUCCCUCAUGGGCACCAGUGGAGCAAAGCCAGACAAGGCCCCUCAAGCUGCUGCUGCUGCACCACCUUCCAUCACUGCGUUUGGCAUCGGUACUGUGCCAGCUGCCCGUCCAUCCUCCUUUGUUAGCAAUGCUCCAAUUGGUGAAAAAGGGAUGGGGUCAGCAUCACUAGCCAGCAGUGCCACCACAAUCGCACCAAUUGGUGAAAAAGGGAUGGGAUCAGCAUCACUAGCCAGCAGUGCCACCACAAUGCCAGGGGACAUGGAAGCCACCCUGCCUGUGCCUGAUGCACACCUCAGCCACAGCCAGCCAGGUCCCACAGCAGGCUCAACAACCACAGGAACUGGUGUCACACCCAGAUCUGCGCUAAGCCCUGUGCUCUGGGCUGGGCCCCGAAUUGUGGAAGCUCCAGGGACAGAGAUGCCAUCACCCAACACUGCACCAGGCACUGGCAGAGCUGCAUCAGAUACCCAUGGGGGACCCAGAGCAGUCACUGUGCACGUGGCAUCACAAGCAGAUGUUCCCCCUCUCCUGGAAGGCAGAGCCAAUGUAGGGAUGGCUCUGGAGGUGUCCCCAUCCAGCAUCCCCCAAGAGAUGACAACAGUCAUGUCCCCAGUGUCCCUGACGGCGCUACUGCAAGCAAUGGGGGCCUCAGGUGACCCCCAGCCCGAUGGCAGCACCACAGGACGAGCAAUGGGGAUGGGGUUCCUGGAGGUGAGCAUGGAGGAGAACCCAGGUGCCAGUGCAGCGGGGCCAACUCCCACCCACACGACUGUCACUGCCAGACCACCCCCAGAGCCACCUGCCACUGAGGACAAGCCCACAGCUGGGAUCACCUCGCUGGCUGUGGGCCACACAAGUGUGCGAGGGGCUACAGCUGCAUCCUGGACAGGUGCCACAGGUACCACUGCCCAUGUGGAGACCCCCCGUUCUGAGAGCAGCACCGAGGGUGCAGCACCCUCAGCCAGCUCCAGCAGCACCUAUGGCCCCGACUCCAAGGCCACUGGCACAAGCCUGGCCACCAUGCUGGCCACCACACCAUCCACCAGCACGUUCCCCAGCAAUGCUAACCUGCCAACCACCUCUACAGGCUGGGAGACCUUUGUGACCAGGGCCACCACAGCCAUGCCACCUGCCACAGCAGGGGCCACCAGCACCAGCAGUGCUCCAUCCCUGGCUGUAACACACAGCGAGACAAGCGGAGGUGGGCAGCCUGUCCCUUCCCCAGCAGCACGUCACCCCUUGGUGGAGACAACUCUUGGAUCCUGGGGCGUCCUCGGUCCCAGCACUGCUGUUGCAGUGUCUGGUUCUCCCCUCCCCAGCCUGCACAGCCCAGCAGAGGAGACAACAACAACCCCCUUGUCCCUGCUUGGUGUUGGUGCAACUGGGGUGGCAGCAGCUGGACAGACUCCCACCGAGUCAGCAACAGGCACCACUUCUACAUCCAGCAUCUACCACUACAUGGGACAAGCAGCAAGCACGUCACCUCCUGCCUUCCAGACAUCUCCAGGGGCACCUGCCUGGAAGGAGAAGACAGCCAUCAGCACAGGCAGCCCCACAGCCACUGCUGCAGGGAACAGCACUGCUGCCACUGCCUCCACUGCCACCAUUGCCAACGCUGUGCCACCACUGCCACCACUGCCACCACUGCAGGGAACAGCACUGCCACCACCGCCACCACUGCCACCACUGCAGGGAACAGCACUGCCGCCACUGCCACCACUGCCACCACUGCAGGGAACAGCACUGCUGCCACUGCCACCACUGCCACCACUGCCACCACUGCAGGGAACAGCACUGCCACCACCGCCACCACUGCCACCACUGCAGGGAACAGCACUGCCGCCACUGCCACCACUGCCACCACUGCAGGGAACAGCACUGCUGCCACUGCCACCACUGCCACCACUGCCACCACUGCAGGGAACAGCACUGCCACCACCGCCACCACUGCCACCACUGCAGGGAACAGCACUGCCGCCACUGCCACCACUGCCACCACUGCAGGGAACAGCACUGCUGCCACUGCCACCACUGCCACCACUGCCACCACUGCCACCAUUGCCACCACUGCAGGAAACAACACUGCCACCACUGCCACCACAGCAACCACUGCCACCACUGCAGGGAACAGCUCUGCCACCACUGCCACCACUGCAGGGAGCAACACUGCCACCACUGCCACCACAGCAACCACUGCCACCACUGCAGGAAACAACAGUGCCAACACUGCCACUGCUGCCACCACCGGCACCACUGCAGGGAACACCACUGCCACCACGGGGAACAGCACUGCCAACACUGCCAACACUGCCACCACUGGCACCACUGCAGGGAACACCACUGCCACCACUUCAGACAAGACCAGAGCCACCACUGCAGGGAACAGCACAGCUAUUGCACCCACAGCCCCAGUGA